Molecule: ribosomal RNA, 254 nt
Filed under: uncultured bacterium
Lineage: Bacteria
Description: partial 16S ribosomal RNA
Rfam family: Bacterial small subunit ribosomal RNA
Source: RNAcentral
CACGUAGGGUGCAAGCGUUGUCCGGAAUCAUUGGGCGUAAAGAGCUCGUAGGCGGCUUAGUAAGUCGGGUGUGAAAACCCCAGGCUCAACCUGGGGACGCCACCCGAUACUGCUAUAGCUAGAGUCCAGUAGGGGAGUGUGGAAUUCCCAGUGUAGCGGUGAAAUGCGCAGAUAUUGGGAGGAACACCAGCGGCGAAGGCGGCUCUCUGGGACGGUACUGACGCUGAGACGCGAAAGCGUGGGGAGCGAACAGG